RNAcentral lists this ribosomal RNA (2453 nucleotides) under Salmonella enterica subsp. enterica serovar Enteritidis. RNAcentral's name for it is "bacterial LSU rRNA". It matches the Rfam family "Bacterial large subunit ribosomal RNA", at positions 490 to 2925 of the family's 2925-position model. Lineage: Bacteria; Pseudomonadati; Pseudomonadota; Gammaproteobacteria; Enterobacterales; Enterobacteriaceae. The record is from RNAcentral.
GUGAACCAGUACCGUGAGGGAAAGGCGAAAAGAACCCCGGCGAGGGGAGUGAAAAAGAACCUGAAACCGUGUACGUACAAGCAGUGGGAGCACCCUUUGGGUGUGACUGCGUACCUUUUGUAUAAUGGGUCAGCGACUUAUAUUCUGUAGCAAGGUUAACCGAAUAGGGGAGCCGGAGGGAAACCGAGUCUUAACCGGGCGUUAAGUUGCAGGGUAUAGACCCGAAACCCGGUGAUCUAGCCAUGGGCAGGUUGAAGGUUGGGUAACACUAACUGGAGGACCGAACCGACUAAUGUUGAAAAAUUAGCGGAUGACCUGUGGCUGGGGGUGAAAGGCCAAUCAAACCGGGAGAUAGCUGGUUCUCCCCGAAAGCUAUUUAGGUAGCGCCUCGUGAAUUCAUCUCCGGGGGUAGAGCACUGUUUCGGCUAGGGGGCCAUCCCGGCUUACCAACCCGAUGCAAACUGCGAAUACCGGAGAAUGUUAUCACGGGAGACACACGGCGGGUGCUAACGUCCGUCGUGAAGAGGGAAACAACCCAGACCGCCAGCUAAGGUCCCAAAGUCAUGGUUAAGUGGGAAACGAUGUGGGAAGGCCCAGACAGCCAGGAUGUUGGCUUAGAAGCAGCCAUCAUUUAAAGAAAGCGUAAUAGCUCACUGGUCGAGUCGGCCUGCGCGGAAGAUGUAACGGGGCUAAACCAUGCACCGAAGCUGCGGCAGCGACACUGUGUGUUGUUGGGUAGGGGAGCGUUCUGUAAGCCUGUGAAGGUGUGUCGUGAGGCAUGCUGGAGGUAUCAGAAGUGCGAAUGCUGACAUAAGUAACGAUAAAGCGGGUGAAAAGCCCGCUCGCCGGAAGACCAAGGGUUCCUGUCCAACGUUAAUCGGGGCAGGGUGAGUCGACCCCUAAGGCGAGGCCGAAAGGCGUAGUCGAUGGGAAACGGGUUAAUAUUCCCGUACUUGGUGUUACUGCGAAGGGGGGACGGAGAAGGCUAUGUUGGCCGGGCGACGGUUGUCCCGGUUUAAGCGUGUAGGUGUGUGUUCCAGGUAAAUCCGGUUCACUUUAACACUGAGGCGUGACGACGAGGCACUACGGUGCUGAAGCAACAAAUGCCCUGCUUCCAGGAAAAGCCUCUAAGCAUCAGGUAACAUCAAAUCGUACCCCAAACCGACACAGGUGGUCAGGUAGAGAAUACCAAGGCGCUUGAGAGAACUCGGGUGAAGGAACUAGGCAAAAUGGUGCCGUAACUUCGGGAGAAGGCACGCUGACACGUAGGUGAAGUGAUUUACUCAUGGAGCUGAAGUCAGUCGAAGAUACCAGCUGGCUGCAACUGUUUAUUAAAAACACAGCACUGUGCAAACACGAAAGUGGACGUAUACGGUGUGACGCCUGCCCGGUGCCGGAAGGUUAAUUGAUGGGGUCAGCGCAAGCGAAGCUCCUGAUCGAAGCCCCGGUAAACGGCGGCCGUAACUAUAACGGUCCUAAGGUAGCGAAAUUCCUUGUCGGGUAAGUUCCGACCUGCACGAAUGGCGUAAUGAUGGCCAGGCUGUCUCCACCCGAGACUCAGUGAAAUUGAACUCGCUGUGAAGAUGCAGUGUACCCGCGGCAAGACGGAAAGACCCCGUGAACCUUUACUAUAGCUUGACACUGAACAUUGAGCCUUGAUGUGUAGGAUAGGUGGGAGGCUUUGAAGUGUGGACGCCAGUCUGCAUGGAGCCGACCUUGAAAUACCACCCUUUAAUGUUUGAUGUUCUAACGUGGACCCGUUACCCGGGUUGCGGACAGUGUCUGGUGGGUAGUUUGACUGGGGCGGUCUCCUCCUAAAGAGUAACGGAGGAGCACGAAGGUUGGCUAAUCCUGGUCGGACAUCAGGAGGUUAGUGCAAUGGCAUAAGCCAGCUUGACUGCGAGCGUGACGGCGCGAGCAGGUGCGAAAGCAGGUCAUAGUGAUCCGGUGGUUCUGAAUGGAAGGGCCAUCGCUCAACGGAUAAAAGGUACUCCGGGGAUAACAGGCUGAUACCGCCCAAGAGUUCAUAUCGACGGCGGUGUUUGGCACCUCGAUGUCGGCUCAUCACAUCCUGGGGCUGAAGUAGGUCCCAAGGGUAUGGCUGUUCGCCAUUUAAAGUGGUACGCGAGCUGGGUUUAGAACGUCGUGAGACAGUUCGGUCCCUAUCUGCCGUGGGCGCUGGAGAACUGAGGGGGGCUGCUCCUAGUACGAGAGGACCGGAGUGGACGCAUCACUGGUGUUCGGGUUGUCAUGCCAAUGGCACUGCCCGGUAGCUAAAUGCGGAAGAGAUAAGUGCUGAAAGCAUCUAAGCACGAAACUUGCCCCGAGAUGAGUUCUCCCUGAGACUUAGAGUCUCCUGAAGGAACGUUGAAGACGACGACGUUGAUAGGCCGGGUGUGUAAGCGCAGCGAUGCGUUGAGCUAACCGGUACUAAUGAACCGUGAGGCUUAACC